Molecule: long non-coding RNA, 221 nt
Filed under: Sander lucioperca (pikeperch)
Lineage: Eukaryota; Metazoa; Chordata; Actinopteri; Perciformes; Percidae
Description: lncRNA (ENSSLUG00000002685.1)
Source: RNAcentral
AUACAGAAAUGGUACAUCUACGAUUCAGCUCAAAGAUUUUGGAAAGAGGAGAAUGAUGCGUGAUGAUGCAGUGGCAGGCUCUGACUACAGCAAUGUGAAUCCAGAUUCAACUGCAGCUCCAUGAAGAGAAGUGCAUCAUCAGCAACAUGCAAAACAAAAGUCAUGUUUAAACAGUGUUGAGAGCAUUUAACAACUGCUGCCAUCCAAACAUAAGAAACAUG